GACGGGGCCCGCACAAGCGGUGGAGUAUGUGGUUUAAUUCGAUGCAACGCGAAGAACCUUACCUGGUCUUGACAUCCCGGAGACCCUUAGGAAACUAGGGGGUGCUUCCAUCUGGAAGAAUCUGGAGACAGGUGCUGCAUGGCUGUCGUCAGCUCGUGUCGUGAGAUGUUGGGUUAAGUCCCGCAACGAGCGCAACCCUUGCCUUUAGUUGCCAGCAGUUCGGCUGGGCACUCUAAAGGGACUGCCGGUGUUAAACCGGAGGAAGGUGGGGAUGACGUCAAGUCCUCAUGGCCUUUAUGACCAGGGCUACACACGUACUACAAUGGCCGAUACAAAGGGCAGCGACACUGCGAGGUGAAGCCAAUCCCGUAAAAUCGGUCUCAGUCCGGAUUGGAGUCUGCAACUCGACUCCAUGAAGCUGGAAUCGCUAGUAAUCGUGGAUCAGCAUGCCACGGUGAAUACGUUCCCGGGCCUU
This 475-nucleotide ribosomal RNA is filed under the name uncultured Desulfobulbus sp. RNAcentral describes it as "bacterial SSU rRNA". It matches the Rfam family "Bacterial small subunit ribosomal RNA", at positions 916 to 1381 of the family's 1533-position model. Lineage: Bacteria; Pseudomonadati; Thermodesulfobacteriota; Desulfobulbia; Desulfobulbales; Desulfobulbaceae. The record is from RNAcentral.